Molecule: ribosomal RNA, 621 nt
Filed under: Pleurotus opuntiae
Lineage: Eukaryota; Fungi; Basidiomycota; Agaricomycetes; Agaricales; Pleurotaceae
Description: LSU rRNA
Rfam family: Eukaryotic large subunit ribosomal RNA
Source: RNAcentral
AUAAGCGGAGGAUAAGAAACUAACAAGGAUUCCCCUAGUAACUGCGAGUGAAGCGGGAAAAGCUCAAAUUUAAAAUCUGGUGGUCUUUGGCCAUCCGAGUUGUAAUCUAGAGAAGUGUUAUCCGCGCUGGACCGUGUACAAGUCCCCUGGAAUGGGGCGUCAUAGAGGGUGAGAAUCCCGUCUUUGAACGGACUACCAGGGCUUUGUGAUGCACUCUCAAAGAGUCGAUUGUUUGGGAAUGCAGCUCAAAAUGGGUGGUAAAUUCCAUCUAAAGCUAAAUAUUGGCGAGAGACCGAUAGCGAACAAGUACCGUGAGGGAAAGAUGAAAAGAACUUUGGAAAGAGAGUUAAACAGUACGUAAAUUGUUGAAAGGGAAACGCUUGAAGUCAGUCGCGUCUGCCAGGGAUCAACCUUACUUUUGUGAGGCGUACUUCCUGGUUGAUGGGUCAGCAUCAGUUUUGGUCGCUGGAUAAAGGUCAGAGAAAUGUGGCACCUUCGGGUGUGUUAUAGUCUUUGAUCAGAUACAGUGGCUGGGACUGAGGAACUCAGCGCCGCAAGGCUGUCUUAGGAUGCUGGCAAAAUGGCUUUAAUCGACCCGUCUUGAAACACGGACAAAAGGAG